Molecule: long non-coding RNA, 36662 nt
Filed under: Sorghum bicolor (sorghum)
Lineage: Eukaryota; Viridiplantae; Streptophyta; Magnoliopsida; Poales; Poaceae
Description: long non-coding RNA (SBIC_LNC012674)
Rfam family: Plant small nucleolar RNA R71 (bases 3913-4019)
Source: RNAcentral
GUUAAAAGAUAGAACAGUCUAGCCAAGUGCCAUGUCUCUUAUUCUUGAUCAGCUAUAGCUCUGGGGUUUUUGCAGGUUUUCAAAUAAAACUCAGAGAUUCCUUGUAUGAUUCUCUCAGGUCUCUCUUUUAUGGUAUUUUUGGAUCCUUACCAAGGCAUUGAUGGUAUAUGCCUUCUCUCAAGAUAUGUGGUAUUUGUGGUACAAAGCAUAGUGACAUUGCCUUCUCUCUCACCCUACUCUAAUAAGGCUUUAAUAUCUGGAGCUCAUAGGUGGGAGAUAAAGUAUACAUACUUACAAGACAUUUAUUGCAUAGUCAAACCAUGGAUCCAAAGAAACAAGCCAAUAAGUUUAAUCAAGAUGUGCAUGUGUGGCGAAUGAAUGGUGUAUGGUGAUGAUGGUGAUAACAAUGGUGAAAACAAUGGUGGUGGAAGUCUAAUUCUACUUUUGCUCUUUUGAGGGGAUACAUACCUUUCUUGCUUUUGAAACUUUAUGAGGAGAAUGAGAUGCUCUUCUUUUUCUUGUCUCUCAGGUGGGUAUCUUGCACCCCUAAUUCUACUGUCGGACACUUGUCCAUUUUUACCUCUCGUCUCACUUUUUCUUUUCUUUCGAGGUUCCGAGCACUUGCUCCUUUUUAUUUCCUCGUAUUAUUUUCUCUCUUUUAUUUUUAGAGCACUCAUCUCUUGAGAUAAUAUAGCAAGUGGUAGUAACAAGAUAACUUGAGCAUUUAUUUCACAAAGGGGAAAACAGAAAAUAUUUUUGGUUAUUCUCUCCCGGAUUAGGAGUGGAAUAUUUUCAGGUGGUUUUGGAGAUGGAAUGGAUGGAUAUAUAUGGAUGGUACUUCCAGAGUAGAAGUAGCAUAUAUGUGUGAACGUGCAAGUGAAAUCUUGAUUUAACCACAUGACAAGCUCCUAAGGGUCUACACAGCUUGACCACACUCAAUGCUCAUAAGCAGUAAAUAAUAAAUGUGUGGCUCAAAGUCUAGCAAGCAUGUAUAUAUGGCUGUGGUAGGAAUUUUAAGCUCUCAUCAUACAGGAACUCAUCAUGCAACAUUUUAAAGAUUUUCAAAGAUAAAAUUCUCUAGAAUUCUAGCAUCUCUAGGAACAGAUAAACAGCAGCUCAGCCUUCCCAUAUCUUAUCCGUUAACAACUUAGACUUCAGAUCAAAUUUUCAUCCCACAAGUUUAGGUCUAGAGCAAGCUUUAAAUUAUAACAGUUAUAUCUAAACUUGAGAGAGAACUUAAAAUGUGCAAAUUAGGCAGAGCAACUAUUCAUCAUAUCCAUGCUUAAGUUUUAUUUAGAUACAAAUUAGCAUAGCCACUUUAUUUAUUUAUUAAUCACACUAAGCAAAAGACAUAUAUAUAUAAAAUCUUUAUUUGGUUUUCCCAUAGUUUAUGUGUAUUUUAAUAUUCUAAAAUAAUAUAAGUAUAAAGAUAGAUAGAAAUACUUAUCGGGAUAAAUGGGGGUGCUCUCCCCCAAGCUGAAUUUUGACGUAAUUUCUCUUGAUGUAGCUAACAGGUGGCAGAGGUGUAUUUGAAAGUCAGCAGCAUUCUGACAGCGAUUAGAAUGUCCUCCUUCUGCUAGUCUUCUUAAAUUCUGUGGAGCUCAAAUAGACAACAAAGCUUGUGGAACUGAUUAAGUGUUAGCAUAAAUAUAUAGCCUUCAUCAUCUUGAGACUCCUUAAUAAUUAUUACUCCCUGUUUUUAUAUUUUUAUUUUAUAAAGCAGAAAAAUAUUUAUUCUAUUUUUAUGCCACCACAGUGAAUGUACUUAUGGGUUUUAUGCCACUCGUCUACUCACAUGGGGCUUACUGUUUUUUUCACAUUUUUAUUUUCUUUUUAAGAUAAUACGAACAUGAUUAACUAAGUAAACUAUUUGAAAUAAUUGGAAGGAAAGGAUAACUACCAAGUUUACCUCUUGGCAAGGCGUUCGGUGUUUUUAAGUCCUCCGAACGGGACUCUCCAAUUUCCUAAUCGUCCUGAGGUUCGUUGGGUGGCGUAGUCGGUACUUCCGGCAGCGCCUCCUCUUCUUGUAUAGUUAUCUUCAUUUUCCACACCUGACUUGGUGCUUCAAUCUCCUCUGGAUAAUUCUGUUUAAACUCAACGUCUUCUGACCUUACAACUUCUCCUUCAUAGUCUGUCCAUCCAUCCUUGAUGAUCUGCCUCCUCUGGUUGCGGUUGCGUCGCUUUCUUACCUGCUUAGAUUCUUCAACGAUAUAGUCAGGGUCAGUAAAAUAACGGCGUACCUUCUCUUAGGGGAAGUGCAUAUGGACUUCUCCGGUUCCAAUGUAGAUAAUUGCUUUAACGGUGCUGAGGAACGGCCUUCCAAGGAUGAUGGGUGGAUCAUACUCGUGUUCUCCCAUGUCAACAACUUGAAAGUCUGUGUAGACAAAGUGAUGAAUGUAUGUUGGUCUUAGGGGCAUGGUCCCGAACAAAAGCCGAAAGGUGACUGCGGCCAUUAUGUUGACGCCUGAUCCGGUGUCACAAAUCGUCUUGUAGAAGUUGUAUCCAUUUAUGGAGCAGUAAAUGCUUGGCAUUCCUGGGUCAUCCUUCUUGGUCAAAAACGGUGACUUAAGUUGGUGAUCUUGGCCUCCAUGGACUACAGUGACCAUCUUAGCUGACUCGGUCCACACUUGCUUGUUCCUGUUCCUCCUGUUGGUCCUCUUCCUUGAUUCACGUCUGGAUUGAUUUGGAAUUUGUGUAGUCUUGUUCUUGAAGAAAAAUGUCUCCUUCUUCCCUUUGACAUAGAAACUGAUCUUGGCAGCACUGGCGUAGAUGAUAGCUCCCGUGGUGUUCAAAAAUGGCCUUCCUAAGAUGAUAGGUGCUCUCUCAUCAUUUCCGGUCUCUACCACUACGAAGUCUGCUGGGGCAUAUAAGGUACCAACUCGGACACAAAGGUUCCUCACUAUUCCUCUUGGAAAAGUUAUCGUCUGAUCUGCAAACUGCAAACACAUGGUUGUCUCUAAUAAAGGAUAUGUAAAGAAUUUUUCAUAGAGUACCCUGGGUAUAAUGUUGACACUGGAGCCAAAGUCAUAGAGUGCUUCUGGGAAGUCCACCAUGCCGAUGGAGAUCGGGAUGACGGGUCGUCCUGGAUCGCCUCUCUUGACCGGCAGACGGUCAGUAGAAAAUUCAGUGACGGGGUUACUCCAAUUACCUGCAUCAAGCAUGUCUACAAGAUUUGCAGAUUCUAAUCCUUCCGGUUGUGAUGGUAUACUGGGUUUAGUAGUAGGAACAGCAGCAGCUAUUUGAUUUAACUGAGAUUCAAUCAUUUUAUUAAAGCUAAUUUGAUUCUUGAUGGCAGUAGAAAAAUUAUCCAUUCUAUUAUUUAUAUUUUCUAGCAUUCUAUCAUUAGAUGCCAAUUUCUUAGAUAGGUUAUCCAUUAGCUUUCCUUGAUUAGACACUAACUCUCUCAAAGGUGGAAAAUUAUUAUUAUUGUUGUAAGAAUUGUUACCUUGAUAAUUACCUGAGUAGUUAGGCCUCUGUUGAUUCCAACCUUGAUUUUGUUGAGGACGGUUGUAGUAGUAGUUGUUGUUGUUGAUGUAGUUCACAUCCUCAAGCAUCUCAGGGCAGUGGUUGCCUGAGUGUCCAGUGUCUCCAUACUCCUCACAAGUCAUGUGAGAGUCGUAGAUGUGCAUAACUUCUUUCUUGUCUCCAGCUCUAUCGUCGAGCUUCUUCAUGAGCAGGUCUAGCUUUGCAGACAGCAUGUCUACCACUUUCAGCUGAUGCAUACCUCCACCUCUCUUGCGUGUCUGGGUCCUCUCUUCAUUCCAGCUUUGAUUGGACGCCAUCUUCUCUACAAGAGCUGUGGCUUGUGGUAUAGUAAGUGAUAAGAAUGCUCCUCCAGCUGCAGCAUCCAUGGUCUCUCGGGCACUGUUGCUGAGCCCAUGAUAAAACGUCUGCAUCAAUAGCCAACUCUCCAUUCCAUGAUGGGGACAUUCUAGGAUGUAGUCUUGAAAGCGCUCCCAUGCCUCUGGAACAGAUUCAUCAUUUUGUUGCUGAAAACUUGUAAUCUUCCCACGGAGAGCAUUGGUCUUGCCCAUGGGAAAGAACUUUGCUAGGAUGUUUGUUGAGCAGAGUGCCCACGUAGUAUUCUUCUCCUUUGUAGCGUAGAACCACUGCUUCGCUCUUCCUAACAGUGAGAAUGGGAAGAGGCGAAGUAGUAUAGCGUCUUUGGAAACUCCUGCUAUGGUGAAUGUGUUGCAAAUCUCCAGGAAGUGUUGUAAAUGAGCACUAGCAUCUUCGUGUGCCUUCCCACAGAACUGGUUGGAUUGCACCAUGUUGAUAAGUCCAGGCUUGAGCUCAAAGUUGCCAUCGAUCUCUGCAGCAGGUCCAGUGCGGAUGUUGUCCGUAGUGGGAGCUGAGAACUCGCGGAUUGAUUUGUUCGCCAUGGCUUCAAACUCUGAAGACAAGUUCCGGUGAUCUUCUUGAUUGGAUGAAGCUUCUUGCUGAAGUGUUGAUGAUUUCUUUAGCUUGGCUCUCGUCUUCUUGAAUAAUGCUUCGGGAUCGUCAACAAAAUUCCCUGGAAGAUGUCUUCUAUUCAUACAUUCCCCUGCAUAAGAUAAAAUAGAAAAAUAUCGGGGUAAAACUGUAUGAGAGAAUAGAUAAGCUCAAUCAUAUUAGUGAUGCGAAUGAUUACUCUAUAUCUUUUAUUCCAUUUCUGAUUGGUAAUCAACAUUCCCCGGCAACGGCGCCAAAAAUGCUUGUUGGGUAUUCUUAACAUCAUUACUAAAGGUAGACUAAGUUCUCUAAAUCUAGCAACGGUGCCAAAAAUGCCAAACCUAUCCCUCACACCACUUAAGCCAAGUUGUCAUCCCCAGCAUGAUAUAAGAGACGCGGUAUUGAAAUAUGCAAUUGCUCUUCUAAAUAAAUAAUGAAUGGGAUCUGCAAGCGCACAGAUUAAUACCGAUGUAGCAUUUUAACCGGGAAGUAUUCCAGGUAUCGUUAUUUAUAUUUUUACCACUGGGAAGGGAUUAGAAAUCAUCACUAAUGAUUACAGAAUAGAAUAUGAGAUUGAGAAUCUAUCAUUGCAUGUAUAAUUGAGAACAUUAUAUCUAACUCAUCAUACAGGGAUAAGUGUCACAUAAAAGAUAUAUGAAAUAAUAAUAGUGACAAGGAUAACUAAUCUGAUCUAGCCACAUAAUAAAUAUGAUAAGCACCUCAAUUAGAUACUCUAGAAAGUCAUUAGCAUGGUAUUAGAACGAACUACAAGAAUAUUCCCUAAGUUAUUCUUAACUAUAUAGUCUAGCAUAUCAUAGUUAGUGCAAGCAUACUUAGCAAUCAUUGUGAGACAAGACUACGCCCAUGCAUAGUGAUAUUAGCAAGGAAUAUGAGAAACAUAGCAAUCACUCCCCUGUAAUAAUGUUGCUCUGCCAGCCCAAUACACAAGAGGGGGACUAUAUAAGAAUCAAUGAAGCUGUCACUAUCACGAACCACCCCACGAUCUGGCAUAUUGGGUACAAUCGCAGAUAAAUACGGUAUAAGCACCACGCCUACACAAUAUCUAUCAUUUACCCAUGGAUCCGAUGGAUAAACGCUAUACGAUCCUAAGCAUGUAUAUAGAUCGUAUCUAACUAAGCCAAGUACAUAACUAUGAUAAACUAAGAACAAUAUAAUCUUGAAUAUAAGCAAGUAGAGCAAAGUCAUAAGCAAUAUAUUGAAGUAUAACAAAGUCAUAUUCAUAAUAUUGAAGAACAAAGAUAAUUAGAAAGCAAUUAGAAGCACAAUUAGAGAAUUACCAAGAAUCCUCUUGACAGAUCCGGAAACCAAUCGAAGAUUGACUCCUUCUAGUUCUAAUCCUAUGUAGCUAUGCUAAUCUAGAUAUCUAAUUGAUGUGGUGGCUCUAAUCUUGAUCAGAGGCUUCUUCUCCCUUGAUGGAACAAUGAAUUAGGGUUGAGAGGCUCUCUCCUCCAGGGGCCAGGGGGUCUGGUUUUAUAGUCCCUUCAAGUGAAUAUGGGCCCUUGGAUCAAACCGACAUAGAUUGUAUGGUUUAGAUUCAUCCUUUAGGUCGGUGGAGACUUCCCGCAAAGCAGAGUCCUGUUUGGACUCCAACAGGGGGCGGGCGCCCAGUAGGACAGGGCGGGCGCCCUGCCUCUGGCCCCGUUUCGCCUCCGCUUCGGUCUCGUGGCUUCUGGAGUCUUCUAGAUGUAAGAUAAUUGCACAGCACGUUAAUAUCUUUACGUAAUCCUGACAUGUGGGCCUUUCUUCCAUAUUUCCUGAUAACCCCCUGCAGAAAUAGACAAACACCAAAACUCGUGGAAUUCUGUCAGAUAAAACCCUAAGUCUAGAUCUUGAUUUCAUUUGGAUCAUUUUCUUUAUUUAUUUGAUAAUUAAAUUUGAUACUUAAGGACCGUCAACAGGCAUCAUCAAGAAAGAGGCUUGUCAACAAGGUAGCAAACAGGAAGCAAGAUAAGAAUAUGUCUUGCAAGAACAAACCCCGCACUUGCUACACUUGUCGAGGAAAGGGACAUCUAAGUAUGGAUUGUCCCAUGGGUAACACUCACAAGCCCAACUCAUCAAUUGAUUCAAAUAUGCUUAGGAGGCCCAAAAAUGACACUUGUGCUAGAAAGGUGAUUGGUUCACCAAGUGCUAGCACAAAGGCCAUUUGGGUGCCUAAGUCUCUUGUGACUAACCAUGAUGGACCCAACAUAGCUUGGGUACCAAAUUGUGCUUGAUGAGUGUUGUAGGUACUUAAAGGUGAUAUGAUGCUUCGGGGUGCUUGAGCAAGUUAACUGAAAAUAUUCACUCAAGCUAUCAACCAAUUCAUAUUGUUUCUUCUUAUAUGGUUGACCCAAAGAUAAAUUAAUGAAAUUAUUUCAAACUUCAUAUUCACCUUGGUAACUAGCACCUAAUCCUUGCUAGCUAGCCAUUUGACUUGUGUAGUCUCUGAUAGUUCACAAGUAUGUGUGUAUUUGUGAAUUAUCAAGAGUGGCUAGAGUACUUCAAGUUAAAUGAAUCAUUUGCCAUAUGAUGCUUUUAAUGGCUCUCUAGUAGAGCAAGAUCUUGUUAAUACUGUAGGUAAUGAGGAAUCAUCUUAUGAGGUAAUCAAGAAAAUUGCCACUGGUGAUAUCAGACUGAAGAAAUCCAAGUAACAGUGAUAAGGAUAUCCUCAAGCUGCUGCUGCACCUAAUUCCGCUGACACCUUAGAGCAGUAGUGCCGCCCCUAUAUAGAUAGCAGCAGGUGACAUCAGUCCAAGACAUGGAUGAAGCCCACAACAUGAUGAUAAACAAAGUCAAGAUGAAGAGACCAUCUCAUCCAUUAUAUCUCAAGAAGGGUGAAAAUUUAUGAGAAGAGGUUGUGCUUGGCUUAAUUGAAUAAUUCACAAGUUUGAAGGUUACUCUUCACCUAAAGUGAGAUGUUGCUGCUAGAGGUCAUAUUGAUCAAAAACCUGAAUUUGAAUAAAAUCAAGUUUGAGGUUGAAUUGGAUGAGUUAUAUUAGAAGAAUUCACAAGAUGACAAGUACUGAUAAGAGGACUGAAUGGAAAUUGCAUCUUGUGAGUAUUCUCAACCAAAUCCACCUCAAGAUUGGACAAGAAGCAAAGAAGAAUUGUGAAAUAUUAAAUCUGUCCAGAAAUUUGAAAAUUUGAAUUGGCUGCCUUCAAGCAUGGAUUUGGAAGUCCAAACACUGAUGAAUUGACCUGAAACAUUAUGAGAAUGACACACAUAUCUGAUACUUGUUGCUGUACAGUUUACAUGAAGAUUGGUUAAGAAGAAAAUCAGUUUUGAGUUGAAUUCUGUCAGCUUCAGCAUUGCAGAUUCAGACCAUAGCAGUUUUGGUAGAAAAUUAUUUUGACUAAUCCAAUGGAGUCCAAAUGAGAUGAAAUUUAUACAGAAGUUAGAGGACUCAUAGAUGAAGGUCUCUACCAAAUUUCAUGCAUAUUGGGCUAGUGGUCUGAGAGAUAUGAAUUCUUCUCUGAGGAUGACAGAAUCUGAAAACUGACUGUUUGGAAUUGGAUUGCAGUGUAACAAGAUUCAGUUGGCUCUCAAGUUGGUCAUGAAAGAUUUAUUAAAAAUGAGCAGCAUCAGUUUCGAAAAAGGAGUUUCAUUGGAAGAAGAGAACUCAUACAAGGAUCCAAACAAGUUGCAAUCAGAUUACAAGUAGUAGCAAAUAAUUGCAAUUAGUUGUUAGAAGAAUUCAAAUGCAGUCUGUCAGAAACAGCAGCUAAGAUCAGUUGAAACUUGAUGAAACUAGUUGGCUUCAGCAGUGACAAGUAGCAAAAAUGAGUUACAAUCAGAUGGUACUAGCUGAAAUCAAUUGGAAUCAACUGAAACUAGCUGAAACUAAUUAAAUUACAGCAGCCUGAAGGAGUUUGAAACCAGUUGGAAUGCAGUGUAAACUUCUCCCUUAACCUCAUGGUAUUGAUAUGCAUGAGUGUACUCUAUGUACUCUUGUAUGCACAUAUUAAGGGGGAGUUUAGACUAUAUCUUUUAAGACUAUUGGUUUCUUUCAAGUGUAUGUUGUGCAGUCCCACACAAUGGAAAAAGGAAGAUGGAUGAUUCCAAUGGAUUCUCUUAGUGUUUCACAACUAUUCUAGGAUCUUGGUUUUUAUAAACCAAGUGCUCCCAGUUUAAUGUUGAAUGCCCCAAUCCUUUAGUGGAACUGGAUUUGAAUGAGUUGGAGACAAUAAUUAAAAAAUGGGCUUUCUUUUCUAUUUCUUCUCUCUAGAGCUCAUCAAGUGUUCAUGAACCAUUCCAUUGAUCACCUAGGAUCUUGUCAACAAAGAGUGGUAACUCCUAGUUCACAAUUUGCAAAUUUCAUGAAUUUUACCUUUUGCUCUUUGUGGGUUGCCUUAGGUAAAGAAAGAACUAGGAACAUAAUUUCUAUCUUGGAUGAUCAUAAGAGCUCUAAGUCAUGACAUGUCAUCAAUUGAGAAAUAUAUGGCCAUCCAAAUCACUGGAUUCUCACUUAUGAUGGUCAUAUAAAUAAAAAUAUAUGUGGUGAUCUAUCUACCUUGGUGGUGGUAUGUUUCCUUGGCAAAAUUUCAAUUGUUGCAAAUUUAUGAUGCCUUGACCAAGAUAUAGGAUGAACUCCUCUUGACUCUUAAACCGAUUCAAAUGCACUUUACAAGUAAUUCAAGUACUUACUGCAUAUAUUAAGGGGGAGCCCAUUCUAUGUCCUGUGUCUUUGAGACUAACCUUUUCUUCUAGUGAAUUUGUGUAAUCUCUUGGUGAGAAUAAGUUUCUCAUGCGUAUGCUACAUUAACUCAAUCCAAUUGGGUAAAGAUAUCUCUCACAUUUACUUGGAUUGCAAUUUUAUCUCUUAAGUAGCUACUCUCCAUAAUAUAGCUUAAAUUCCCUUAUUUGGACUUAAUUGACCAAAAGUGCAUAUGUCUUGCCUUCCACAUAUAUAUGUAUGCACUAUCAAAAAGAGGGAAUUAGUAUAUGUUAUGAGGUUUUGCAAUUAGUGACUUACAUGCCUUCUACAUACAAAAGGUCACUAGUUGUGAAACUCCAGCUUGUGCAAUUUGAUGCUAUCUCUUGUCUUGUGAGCAUUACCUAGGUGACAAUAUGAGAUACAAGAAUCUAUUUCAAUUGGCAUCAACUUGUGAAGACUCUUUUAUUGGUGUCAAAAUUGUGAAGACCACAUUUCAUUUGGUAUUGGUGGAUAUUUUUUUAAAUUUGGUAUAUCAAGAAAUAUAUCUUCAAUUAGUAUCUCAUAAUGACAUCAAGAUCUAGCAAUGGACUUUCAAUCAAAAUCAAGCACAAGUUUUGGUUAUCUCCUUAAAGAUGAUGAUGAAAAGAGAUGGGCACAUGAAAUCUUUUUGCAUAAAGAAAUGCUAAGCCCAUCAAAGCUCCAAAUUCAACUCAUGAAAAUCAUUAUCAUGGUGGAGAUUCGAGGCUUAGAACAAAGGUAUAUUGCUCCAUGAACUCUUGUAUUACCUUUGUGCAUCUAGGCCCUUACAUGCUAGUGUGUGCAUGUGUAUGCAAUAUUUGAGCCACACCAUGAGUUUGUUCUUAUGGUCACGAUUAGAGAAUGAUUUAGAUAUUUGGUUGAUACCUCUGUGGUGAUAAAGUGAGUUUGUCUCAUGUUAGAACUAUCAUCUAAGUGAGGUAUGAGCUAAAUAUACUAACUUCUCAAGAAUCUUGACUUAAAGUGUUGCAUACUUUGUUUGGUAGAAAACUCAGGAGAGAAAUCCUAUAUGCUGAAUUUUUACCUACCUCUUGCCCUCACUUGUCUGCCAUUAUUUCUUCCUCUGGGUGGAUAGAUCCUUUUUGGAGAUUAAUGCCAAAGGGGGAGAAAUAUUGGGGGAGAGUGUAAGGGAGGAGAGAUUGAUAUGCGGAUUUAAAGGGGGUAAAAGAGAGGCAUAUAAGAUUUUUUCAAUUUUUGUGUGGAGUGUGCAAAGAUAGUUUAAAUUGAUGCUCUUGAUAAGGAAAAAUUUAUGCUAGUGUGUGAUAUUCAUGCCUUGAAUGAUGUAUUGUUUUUGUUUUCUCUGAAGUGCAUGAACUGUCAUGAGCAUCACGUUUAUCUUGAUGACACCUUGCACCCCACGAAUGCUAAGAUAUAGAAGAGUUUCCACACCUUUUCUUAAAUAAGUGCAUUUGGCAUGUGAGGCCAAAAUUUGAAUUCCAUUCAAUGCACACAUUUAGGGGGGAGUUCACUAUAUCAGAGGAUUCAAAAUCUUAUUAUUUAUCAAUCUCUUGUAAGCUUUACUUGUGUUGUCAUCAAUCACCAAAAAGGGCGAGAUUGUAAGUGCAUCUAGCCUUUUAGUGGGUUUUGGUGAAUUGAAUGACAACACAAUUAAAGGUCUAACAUCUAGCCCUUUAGUGGGUUUUGGUGAAUUGAAUGACAACACAAUUAAAGGUCUAACAAGUUUGAUAAGUGUAUCAAAGGGUCAACAAGAAAGCAAACUUGAUGGUAUUUCACACAAUGUUCAAAUGAAGACCAAAGUUGUGUGUUGGUGUAAACUGAAGCUUGAUUGGUAUCAACACUCAUACCAAGAAGAUAUUCAAGCAAGAAUCACAAUAUUGAAGAAACAGUUUUUCAAUGGAUGCUUAACAUGAUGUGACUUGAGUAUGGCUUGAUAGAGUGAAGAUAGCAAGGAAAAGGCUUCGAGGGACUAAGCGAAGUUUAAGGUCAAGCAAUGGCUUGUAGACCGAGGUACCAUGGCUAAGGUGAAGAAGAGAGUACUUGCAUUGAGUCGAGGUACUAAUUAAGCUAUGAGGAGUCAUAUUGUGUUGAGGAUCAAAUCUUUUAUCAAAGUGACUUGAAGUCAUGGAUUGAACUCAUAUAUGUUGAAAUGAUUCAAGUCACAUGCUCAAGCUAUAUUUACUCAAAGAAGAGGAGACAAAGUUAAUUGCAUCCUUGAUGAAGUGAUAUUGAGAAGAAGUGGCAUAUGAAGACAUUGAAGACUCAAGUGGUUAAAAUGGUUAUAUACUUUUGACCUUGAGUUUAGGAUUUGCCGCACUAUAAACAGGGAUGCAAAUUUAGUUGGUUUGAGGAAGAUAGAGUGCUCAAGUAUUAAAACUAAAUCAAAAGAGAGACAAUCUAACACUUGCACGCACGAACAUCUAGGAAAUUUCUUCUCUGCCAGGGUGACCCGGUAGUACCACCCCUCAGGGCCGGUGGUACCGGCAGUGCCAGCCCUUUCUCCUGAAUUUUGUGAGAAAAUGAACUACCGGUAGUACCGGGCUCGGGCCGGUGGUACCGGCCAGCACCAGUAGUACCGGUGUGAAACCCGGCAGGCCAAAUCUGCACUGACUUUGGUUGCGGAGACUUGAACUGCCGGUGGUACCGGCCUUCUACCGGUGGUACCGGCAAUGGUCGGUAGUACCGACAAAAGCCCGGUGGUACCGGUAGGCUUAUUUCUCGCAAAUCAUAGAGACUUCUUACCGUUAGAUCUGAGGUAGCCGGUGGUACCGGUGGUUGCGCCGGUAGUACCGGCAGUUGUUCUGAACACAUGUAUAUAUAGCUUUCCCCUCAUUCUAACCGUUGGCUUACUCUUCCGCUCGACCAAACCUUCAGCCAAGGCACCUCUCUAGCUCCCAAAAGCCCCUUUCUUGUAUCCCCUUUGCUCCUAACUUCAAAUCUUGCAAGGGAUUGAGGGAGAGAAGGAUUCUUGGUGAGAGAAACAUCAAAGCAAAGCUUGAGCACUUGAUUUCUUCGUCAAGCCGGUUGGAUUUGUGUUUGUUACUCUUGGAGCAAGGCUCCUAGCCGGCUAGGCGUUGCCCAUAGAGCUUCCUACUCAUGUGGUAGCCUCGGGAGGUUUGUAAUCACUCAAAUCAUCUAGUGAAAUCACCCCUCAUCUCAAGGGAUUGCUCUCUUGACUUGAGAACGAGGAUAGGGUUGAAAGAGACCCGAAAAGCCUGUGUGGCUUCCUCAACAACGUGGACAUAGGCAAGCCUUGGUGGCGAGCAGAACCACAGGAUAAAUAUCUUGUCUUUCUGUGGAGGUAGCUUCGACUACCCUUUUUCUUGUGUUCUUUAUGUUCUUCCUAUCUACCCUGUUCAUAGGUGAACAAGGGCCGAUCUAUGUUUUGGAGAAGAACCAAGGCAAGGGAACUUCAACAUCAUCCUCUACUACAUCUAGGAGAGUGGGGUAACUCUCAGAUCUGGAAUCAAAACUCAAAAUACUCUGAUUUCGUAGCUCUCUUAGGGUGUCGGUAGUACCAACAGUUGCGUCGGUAGUAUUGGCUGUCUUACACCAGUAGUACUGGCCCAAACUGUUGGUGGUACCGACAGGCAUUUAAUUUCCGCAACUUGAGUUUUGAGUUUCAGGUUUUUUCAGAUACGCCUAUUCACCCCCCUCUAGGCGACAUCAGGGUCCUUACACGUUCGGAUCUGUCAUACCGAUCAUAACCAUUGCAUUCAGAGCAAUCCCUAACAGUAGGCAACUUGAUGCUCUGUUCCCAGCAAUGGAUAAAGAACGGGCAGUUCCAGUGAUCUUUGUGCCGAUUCCACUCCUGUCGGCGUCAUUCUUCUUCCCGACGAUAAUCCUCCUGCUGGCGCCGAUACCGAUCUUCACGUUGCUGCCAAGUCUCCCGAUGCCUUCUAUGAGUUAUCACAAUGCCAGAUCGAGGAGGCCUUCCUGAGCUAUUUCCUUCCUAGAUAAAACCCUUUCCUUUAGCAUCGGCAGCAGUAACUUGAUGUUGGGGAUCCACCGAUGCACUUCUUUUAGCUGCUUCUGACAUCAAGACCUUAGUCUUUCCCUUAGCAUCCAACAUAUUCGGUGGGAAAGGAUGUUGAUCGAUCUUCAUCGGCUUCUGAGCUUUGGAAUUGUCAAACUUGAUUCUCCCAGAUUCUAUAGCCGAUUGCAGUUGUUGCCUGAAAACCUUGCACUCAUUGGUGCUGUGAGAGGUUGCAUUGUGCCACUUGCAAUAUUUCAUCUUCUUUAAUUCUUCAGCCGAUGGAAUCACAUGAUUAGGCGACAAUUUGAUUUGCCCUUCCUGAAGUAGAAAGUCAAAUAUCCUAUCGGCCUUAGUAAUGUCAAAUGCAAACUUUUCUAGCUCCUUAUGCCCAAAAGGGCAAGACAUCGACUUUUUGUUCUUCACCCAUUCUGCUAAGCUGAUGACUGGCUCCUCAUCAGAAUCCGAGCUUGCUGCUUCAUCUACAAAUGAUACCUUUUUGUUCCAUGCUCUCUUGGGUUCAAAAGGCUUAAUAUCUUGGUCAGAAAUCCUUUGCACCAAGUGACUCAGACUUUCGAACUCUUGAGAAGCGUACUUGUCUCUGAUAUGUGGCAAUAGCCCCUGAAAAGCCAAAUGGGCAAGCUGCCGAUCAUCUAGAACCAGGCUAUAACAUUUAUUCUUGACUUCCCGCAACCUCUGCACAAAGCUUUCAACCGAUUCAUCAUUGCGUUGUUUCAAUCUGACCAAAUCGGUAAUCUUCUUCUCAUGGACUCCAGAAAAGAAGUAUUUGUGGAAUUGCUUCUCUAGAUCGGCCCAAGUGAUCACUGAGUUGGGAGGUAAUGAAAUAAACCAUGUAAAAGCCGAUGCAGACAAGGAUGAUGAAAAUAGACGAACCCUCGAUUCAUCUCUGUUAGCAGCUUCCCCACAUUGAAUGAUGAACCUAUUGACAUGCUCCAUAGUUGAUGUAUCAAUCUGCCCAGAAAAUUUAGUGAAAUCUGGUACAUUGUACCGUGUGGAAUUAAAUCAUAUGCAGGAGGAUACGGUGUCCGAUAAGAGUAAGUGUUGACUUUGGGUUUUAUCCCAAAUUGGUCUCUCAUCACUUCAGCUAUCUUAUCGGCCCAAUAAGCAUCGGCAUCUUGCCGAUGAGGCGGUUGUGGAUCUGGCGCCUGCUGAUAUGUUUCCACAUGUCGUUGAGGUGCACGAUCUGCAUGGAACAUUGGGUUAACCAUCUGACCACCAGUCUGUUGACCCAGAUUCAUCGGCUGGUUGGCCAACCCUUGAUUCUGAAACCCAGGUUGAAUUUGACCUUGUUGAAACCCUAGAGCCUGAUAAUUCUGCUGAGGCAUCUGUGGAAAGACUAGCUACCCCAUCCAUCCACUGUUAGCAUUCAUCAGCACAAACCCUGCCGAUGGCUGGAAAUUGGGCAUCAUCAUGGAAUUGACAUACCCUGGUUGUGUCAUAAACCUCUGCUGCGUCGGCAUUGAGUCUGCCGAUGCGUUAGGCAUUUGGAACAUUGGAGAUUGAGAAUUCCUAGUGUACGGUCUGGCAGUAGUAGUCGUGGUAUACUGGGGACUCUGAUUCAUCGGCAGAUUUGGAGGUGCCGAUGCCAUAGGAGCCUUGUCUUUCAAGUCAGCCACUUGAGAUGUUCCAGGAGUUUUCAACAUCAUCUCAGGGGGCAUACCGUAACCCCACCAAUUAGGAGGAAUAGAUCCCGACAUUGCUGAUGCCAAUAGAUCUGAGGCAAGCUUGAUUUGCUCAUCUGAUGUUGAUGGAUUGGUUGUCAUCGGCGUAGAUUGCACAUUAGUAAGUCCUAAUGUGCUUGGAGGAACAGUAGUUUUUGUACCUGCAGCGGCUGUAGUAGCCGAUGGAGCGGUGACCAGUGGUGAUCCUAGCUGAUGAUAGGCAAGACCCACAUAAUUUGGUGGCAAUUGUCCUUCCUUGAAAGUUCUGGCAACAGCAUUGAAAAUCAUGUUGGACAGCACACCAGCUUGAUUGAUCAAGGCACGGUUAAUAGCAUUGUCAACCAUGUCUUGAAGUUUACCAGGAUUGGCUUCAAAAGUAAUCUGCCGAGGUGCCGGCAAUGCUUCCUUCUGGAUCACCUCGCCACUCCUGUUGAUGCUGAAGGAUUUCAAACAUUGAUGCUUGUAGUCCUCCAUGGCUUUUGCAAUAGCUUGCUUUUGCUCAUCUCUGAGAUUGGCUUCCGUCACAGGGAUGACGUUCUCCAGAUCGAACUCGGUAUUGGCCAUGUCGAUCUUGAUCUUGAAUCUUGUCCCACCAGGUGUGCCAAAAGAUGUGUUGAUGCAAAACUGAUCUGCAAACACAAAGGGCUAAUACCCGAUUUAAACGUUAAGGCGUGCCAGCCGAUUUGACCUUUCAAUCGACAAAGGUGGUAACUCGACCACUUUGGUCCCCACAACAGCGAUGCGCCCGGAUGUCACGGCCAAGAGGUGAUCACGCGGAACUUGAGAACGCGCCGAGCUUAAGUCGACGAAUUCCUAAGAACUCGUAAUAAAAAGAAAAUAUGGCGAAGUCGUUGAAAAAGUAGAUGCUAGAAUAUGAGUAAAAACUUGUGUUUGAUUGAUUGAUAGAUUGUUCAUUACAAGGCCCUAGGGUCCACAUUUAUACCCUGCUCAAAGAGCUACAAUCAGACACGACCAGGACUCAAAUUCCAAAUUAAAUGGAAUCCGUAUAGAAAACAAAUCUAAAUAACUAAGGAAAACAUAAAACUAUCCCCUUGUAACCGACCGGGACACCGCCACAAAUCAAUCGGCAAUCUCCACGCUUUCCUUCAGAGUCAUCGGCAGACCUACUGUUAUGGCCAUCGGCAAACACUAAUACUGAUCAUCGGCACGAACACGUCACCACCUCUAGACUUAGUCACAUUCAAUUGUCUCAUCAUCGGCAACCAUCCUCAUCGGCAACUUCUCUGCAGACUAGUUACCAUUGCUUCAUCUGCCGAUCUAUACUUUACUGAUCCCCAGGUACAUGUCCAAAAACAGUGUCAACACCUAUAAGCUCUAAUUCUGUAAUAGAACCGCCCAAAUUAUAAGAGAUUAAGCCUAAUAGUGACCAUUUGCAUAGUCGAACCAUCGAGCUUAAACCCAUAUAAUCCUGGUAGUCCGUGAAAUCUCGAAGGAUUUCAUACCACAAAUCGUACAUACAGCCAAGAUCGUAAUAAGUUUAGCAGUCACUAUUCACAGUUACAUCCAGUUUACAACAUUCAUAAAAUACAUCGGAGUUCUUCAAAUUAUUACAAACCAAGUUCUCAAGUAGCGGAAGCUUCAUAGUUUGAAAAUAACACACACAUACUUAGUCUGAUACAGUGCCAUAGUUCAGUCAUUCCCACAAAAGCAAAAGAAGAGGUAGAGUGACCAUCGGUCCAUCGCCCUUGACCUAGUCAUCGCCCAUUGCUGGGUACAAGCAGAGGAUGCAAUAACCAUAGUACAUUUGACCAUCUGCAAAACAACAUGGGAGUAGAACCCUGAGUAUGAGAAUGUACUCAGCUAGACUUACCCAUCAUAAACCAAAAAUAAAGACUUAUUCAAGGAUCAUGAAGGCUAUAUGGUGGGGGUAGCUGAUGACUUUUUGCAUAAAAGCACUAUUCUAUUAAACAUAUCCUAAAGGAAUUCUUCUUCUUUUAAUUAGCUCAAGUUGAAAGUAUCAUUACCUAUUAUCUAGGUUUGCUCCUGCACUAUGGCAAACAAAUAUAAUAAUAUGAUGGUUGUUGACACUUGCUAACACCACUUGAAUACUAGGUUGUCAUCUCCAGCAUGGCACUAGAGUGUACUAUGGUAUUUAUACGCACACAGAUAAUCCGCAAGCGCACGGAUACCGUUGAAGCUUUUACCUGGUUAAAGGUUUUAUCGUAUCCACAGGGAAACGGGAGAACCAACUACGCUCUAACUUAACCAAGAUAAGUAAAUAGGAAAGAUGGUAGAUGGUAGCACAAUAUUAAAGGUAAGAUAACAGUGAGUGAUAAUAUGGGAAUAGAGAGUAGAGCAAUCUAGUAUAUGGGCGAUGGUAGCAGAAUAGAGAGGAUAACUAUGGUUUGUCUACUUCAAAGGGAUAUUUCUAUGUCUGGGACGAACCACGUGAUAAGAUUACACCACAAAGGAUGCUUAUCCAUAGGCCGAUAAACCCUACCCGUCCUGCUAACGAGAGGUGGACUACAGAGAACCAACGUAACUGUCACCUACGCGGCCUACCACACGAUCCAGCUAGACAGGGGAUAUCCACAAGUAAUCUAGGUCUAAGCACCACGCUUACACCUAUACUACAACUCUAACCUAUAGCGUCCUAUAGAUUAGAAGUACUCAAAAGAGUUGUGAACCAGAACAUACAUGAUUAGUAAUUGCAUAAUGAAUUAGAAGUAGAUUACCAGAGUCAUCCCAUGAGCAAGCUUGAUUAGAGCUUGAUCAUGACGAAGUACAACCGGAGGAAGAACCGACAGGCCGGCCUCUCCUCUAAUCCUCCCACGCUCUCCAUCUUGCUACAAGCUAGAUCUACUCUAGUUUAGAGAAGAGAGGAGAGCUCUCAUCUCUAAACCCUAGCUUUUGCUCUGUCUAUGAAUAAUGAAUAAUGAUCAAGGGGUGCCUCCUCCAGGGGCCAGGCGGUCUGGUUAUAUAGUCCUCUCAAGGGAAUAUGGGACGUUGGAUCAAAGCGACAUAGAUUGAACGGUUAUUCUUGAUCCUUUAGGUCGGUGGAGAUCUCCCGAGAAACAAAGUCCUGUUUGGACUCCAACAGAUGGCGGGCGCCCAGGGAAACAGGGCGGGCGCCCUGCCUCUGGCCCCUCUCGGCCUCCGCUUCCUUGCCAUGGCUUCUGGAGUCUUCUAGAUGUAAGAUAAUUGCGCGGCACGUUAAUAUCUCUAUGUAAUCCCGACGUGUGGGCCUUUCUUCCUUAUUUCCUGAUAACCCCCUGCAGAAAUAGACAAACACCAAAACUCGUGGAAUUCUGUCAAAUAAAACCCUAAGUCUAGAUGUUGAUUUCAUUUGGAUCCUUUUCUUUGUUUAUUUUAUAAUUAAAUUUGAUACUUAAGGACCGUCAACAAACUCCCCCAAGCUUACCUCUUGCUCGUCCCUGAGCAAGGAUAGACUCAGCAAUGGAUCAGAAGUUGUUGCAAUAUCUUUAAAAUUUGACGGUACACAUGCUUUUAAAUAAGAUCUCAUCUCUGAGUUAGAGUAAACUGUCAAGAACUAAAACUUACUUUACCUUUCACCAUGGGACUUGUAACCGCCACUUCAGUCUUGAGUAGUUAAAAGAUAGAACAGUCUAGCCAAGUGCCAUGUCUCUUAUUGUUGAUCAGCUAUAGCUCUAGAGUUUUUGUAGAUUUUCAAAUAAAACUCAGAGAUUCCUUGUAUGACUCUCUAAAUCUCUCUUUUGUGGUAUUUCUGGAUCCUUACCAAGGCAGUGAUGGUAUAUGCCUUCUCUCAAGAUAUGUGGUAUUUGUGGUAUAAGGCAUAGUGACAUUGCCUUCUCUCUCACCCUACUCUAAUAAGGCUUUAAUAUCUGGAGCUCAUAGGUGGGAGAUAAAGUAUACAUACUUACAAGACAUUUAUUGUAUAGUCAAACCAUGGAUCGAAAGAAACAAAUCAAUAAGCCAAAUCAAGAUGUGCAUAUGUGGCGAAUGAAUGGUGUAUGGUGAUGAUGGUGAUAACAAUGGUGAAAGUCUAAUUCUACUUUUGCUCUUUUGAGGGGGUACAUACCUGUUGAUAUUUGGUAACGCAAUAAGGAAACGAUCCGCAAGCACACGGAUAUCGGAGAGCAUUUCACCCAGGAGGUUAUCCAGAGUUAUCGUAUUUAUAUUUUUACCACUGGGAGAAAGGGUGCAUCUGACUAACCAAAUCUAUUGCUACUAUCCCUUUAGGCACAAAGAAUGUCUUUCGAUGUGAGUGAUAAAUAGAGAAGACUGCAACCGUAGUCUCCUUCUAACCUUGGUAAGGAUGAUCUACUGCUCUAAUGGGGAGGCUAACAGAAUCUAGACACCACAAAGGAUGUUCAACCCGCACCUAUAAACCCUAUCCUUCCUGCUAACGAGAUGUGAUCUGCAAAGGUAAUUCGGAAUUGUCACGUUCCUCACUACUACCACGGUCCAGCUAGUCAGGGAAUAUCUAUGAGUACCCCAGCCUAAACACCACGUUUACGCCAGCAAUGAUUACUCUAAACUCUACGCGAAGAGAUUAAAGUAAACUCAUAAACCAUAAGAACAAUAAAACAAGAACUUACUAGAAUUUAGAAGUCGAAUUACUGAAGAAUCCUAGGAGCAAGCUUUGGGUAAGGAGAACUUGAUCCCGCAGGUACAAGCUUGGAGUAGACACCGACAGGCCGGGCUUCCUCCAAUCUACACCUCAGAAACUAGAAGAUCUAUUUCUACCUUACAUUGGUUGCUAAGCCUAAAAAGAAAUAUUAAUUAGAGAAGAGGUUUUCCUUCAAGGGCACCCCUCAGUCUCUAUGAUAAUUUCUUCAUGUCUUCUCCAGAGGCCAGGGGGGUCUCCUUAUAUAGUCCUCCCCUUCUAGGCAUUUUUGGGUCGAUAGGCGAGGUGGUACUAUGUUUUUCUUGAUCCAAUAGGUCGGUGGAACAUCCCGAGCGAAGAGAGUCCUAUUUGGCAUCCAACAGGGGGCGGGCGCCCAGGUCCUCAGGGCGGGCGCCCUGGGCCUGGCCCCGUUUCGCCUCCGCUUCGGUCUCGUGGCUUCUGGAGUCUUCUAGAUGGUAGAAAAUUGUGCGGUGCGUUGAUAUCUCUAUGUAAUCCUGACAUGUGGGCCUUUCUUCCUUAUUUCCUGAUAACCCCCUGCAGAAAUAGACAAGCACCAAAACUCGUGGAAUUCUGUCAGAUAAAACCCUAAGUCUAGAUGUUGAUUUCAUUUAGAUCCUUUUCUUUGUUUAUUGGAUAAUUAAAUUUGAUACUUAAGGACCGUCAACAAUACCUUCCUUGCUUUUUGAAACUUUAUGAGGAGAAUGAGAUGCUUUUCUUUUUCUUUCCUCUCAGGUGGGUAUCUUGUAACCCUAAUUCUACUGUCGAACACUUGUCCAUUUUUACCUCUCGUCUCACUUUUUCUUUCUUUCGAGGUUCCGGGCACUUGCCCCUUUUUAUUUCCUCGUUUAUUUUUUUCUUUUCUCCUCUUUUCUCUUUUUUUUCAGAGCACUCAUCUCUUGAGAUAAUAUAGCAAGUGGUAGUAGUAAGAUAACUUGAGCAUUUAUUUCACAAGGGAAAACAGAAAUAUUUUUGGCUAUUCUCUCCCGGAUUAGGAGUAGAAUAUUUUUGGGUGGUUCUGGAGAUGGACAUGGAUGGAUAUAUGUGGAUGGUACUUCCGGAGUAGAAGUAGCAUAUAUGAGUGAACAUGCAAGUGAAUCUUGAUUUAACCACAUGACAAGCUUCUAAGGGUCUACACAGCUUGACCACACUCAAUGCUCAUAAGCAGUAAAUAGUAAAUGUGUGGCUCAAAGUCUAGCAAGCAUGUAUAUAUGGCUGUGGUAGGAAUUUAAACUCUCAACAUACACGAACUCAUCAUGCAAUAUUUUAAAGAUUUUUCAAAUAUAAAAUUCUCUAGAACUCUAGCAUCUCUAGGAACAGAUAAACAGCAGCUCAACCUUCCCAUAUCAUAUCCGUUAACAACUUAGAUUUCAGAUCAAGUUUUCAUCCCACAAGUUUAGAUCUAGAGCAAGCUUUAAAUUAUAACAGUUAUGUCUAAACUUGAGAGAGAACUUCAAAUUUGCAAAUUAGGCAGAGCAACUAUUCAUCAUAUCCAUGCUAGAGUUUUAUUAUUAUGAUUCAGAUUAGCAUAGCCACUUUAUUUAUUUAUUAAACACGCUAAGCAAAAGAGAUAUAUAUAUAUAUAAGCACAAAAUUUUUAUUUGGUUUUUCAUAGUUCAUGUAUUUUAAUAUUCUAACAUAAUAUAAGUAUAAAGAUAGGUAGAAAUACUUAGCGAGAUAAAUAGGGGUGCUCUUCCCCCAAGCUGAAUUUUGACGUAAUUUCUCUUGAUGUAGCUAGCAGAUGGCAGAGGUGUAUUUGAAAGUCAGCAGUAUUCUGACAGCGAUUAGAAUGUCAUCCGUCUGCUAGUCUUCUUGAUUCUUAAAUUCUGUGGAGCUCAAAUAGACAACAAAGCUUGUGGAACUAAUUAAGUGUUAGCAUAAAUAUCUAGCCUUCAUCAUGUUGAGCUUCCUCAAUAAAUAUUACUCCCUGUUUUUAUAUUUUUAUUUUAUAAAGCAGAAAAGAAAUAUUUAUUUUAUUUUUAUGCCACCACAGUGAAGGUACUUAUUGGUUUUAUAUGCCACUCGUAUACUCACAUGGGGCUUAGUAUUUUUUAACAUUUUUAUUUUGUUUUCAAGAUAGCAUGAUUAACUAAUAAUCUAUUCAAGGAAAGUAAAUAUUUAAAGGGAAAAGGGAAUGCAGAAAGGAUAAAUAUGGAUAACUACCGAUCUUACCUUUCGGCGAGGGUUCAAUGUUUUAAGUCUUCUUAAAAAGACUUCUCACCGUGUUCAUUCUUCAUUCAAUGUUUUAAGUCUUCUUAACAAGACUUCUCACCGUGUUCAUUCUUCAGGUGCGUCAUUUGAUUCAGGUGCGGACCUUGAUGUCUGCACCUCUUCGUUUGCCUAGCAGUUCGAAGUGCGGCGUUGGCAGUAUCCUGCUCAGUGUGUUUGUGCUCGUAGAUCCAGGUCCUUCACUUGGUAGAGUCUAUGAAUUAUAAAACUCCUCCAUGUUUUGCUCGAAGUGUACCUGCUCAUAGAGACAAGGCAGAGAUCAAGUGCAUGGGUCCUAUUGGUCGAAAACACCAACAGAACCUAAAGUGUAUUUGUUCUUCUCUAACCCUAAGCAUAGUGAGCAAGACAAAGUUGAUGGAUGAAAAGUUCAUGAGUGUAGCACUUAUAACAUUUGUCAGAUCAGAUCACUCAACCUUAUGGAAAGAUAAUCUAUCUAUAUAUAUGUCUUUUUCUUUAUAUCUCUCAAUGAUUGAAUGUGUAACAUUUUAGCUCAUAUGAUUAGGAGUGUGGGAUCAUGGAGGUAGUACUAAGAACAAGGAUUAAAGGACUAAACAUGUUGACUCAGUUGGGUUGGUUAAUCUAGAGUUGUAAAUCAUACAUGUUUGUCUCUUUUAUUUAUAUGAAUGCCAGAACCAAGGAGAAGCUCAUAAAAGUGAUAGUCAAGUACCUUAAGAUGUUACCUUGCUUGAAGAGUGACGGUACAGUAUCACCUUGUGGAAGCUUUCCUUUCUUAGCGGUUGUGCAUCGUAUUUGUGGCACCCUCCAUGGAUCAUUUCUCUAUGAUGAAUGAGCUAUGUCCUUCUUGUGCAAAUUGUUAAACUUCAUGUGUCACUCUCUUCGUCUCUGAUGUGAGUUUAUCUCAGGACUUCCCAAAUCGAUAUUGAAAGUUUUUCUACAGGGGUUAGUCCGACAAAAAUAUACCAAUGUCUACACAAGCAGUUUUUAGUUCAAUAACCGAACUAGACUCCAUGUCUAAUCAGAUUAAGGAAGGCUGUUUAACCUAAGCACCAUGCUUAAUUUAAAAGCCAAUAUAAGUAUGUGCAGUAGUUCCAAACUAACACUUACUAGUAAAUAGACAAAGGUAACAUGACAGCAUUUAUAGAGAUCUACUCAAGUGGAGAUGAAGUAGUGUGAUUAGUAUUUAACAAAUUGAGCAUGUCUUAAAGGUAGGGACAACCAACAUAGCAACAUGGCAAAGGAUGUUUUUAUGUAAAGUACUCCCCCAAGCUUGAAUUUUGUAGAAUUCAAGUUUGGAUGAAUUUAAUUCAGUGUUGCAUGAUGAUUGGUUGGACAUACCUUGUACUUGCUUGUCAUUCAUCUGAUCUUCUUGUUCCAAUCCUGGAAAGGUUAGUGACAAGAUUACCCGAAGGAAUAUUUUUACAAUUAUCCUUAUAUGCUCAAUACACAAGGUAAUGUUGCAAAUAAUUAAAAGCUCAUGUUAUGAUCUGAUCAGUGCUUAUUUUAGGACACCAAGCUUGUCCUUGGGAAACUAUCAAUUUAUGUCGGCGAAGUGGUUUCCUUUCCAACGCUGACCUAAACCAAGAUCAACUCAACGAGAUCUGCAAUAUUUAUUAUAGACAUAUGCAUCGACAACCGCACUUUUAAAGUUUUUAUAAAUAGAAAGGAACAGGGGGUUGAAGAUCUCAAAUGUGGUGAUGUUGGAGAGACCAAUAGAUUGGGAAGAUGUUGCAUAUGAGCAUGGAGUGAAUGAAGUGACUAUGAAAUAAAUUCCAUGCUCAUUAAUGUUAUCUUCAUCUCCAAUCUGAAUGUUCAGAGUUUCUCUUGGAUUGGUCUCACUUAUGUCUUCUUCUAUAGUUGGAUGAAUCCCAUCUUCAAAGGGAGUCAAGAACUCACCAUUUGAGAUUGAACCAAAGUCAGAAUUCAUUAAGGCUUCUUCCUUAUCCAUCCAUUCUACACAUUCUAGCCAUUUAGAACUUGUGAUCAGAAAAGGGGGGUGUUAGAAUUUUCAAUAUGGCUUAGCUCUCCUUCACUUGAUAUGUCAUCCUUGACUUCUUCAUAACAGGAACUAGGACAUUCUCUAAGAGAACCAUUAUUGCGAGGAUUUGAAUCAUCCCUGCUUGAAGGUCUCUUAUGGAACCAAAAGUCUAAACCAUGAGCAUGUGAAAGAUUUAAGGUUGGAAUUCCUUCCUCCCUUGGAGAAUUUGGGGUAUUGAUGGUUUAGGAUCGAUAGCUAAAGUUUGGAAUUGAAGUGGUUGUGAUCUGGCUAUCGAAACUUCUUCUUCUUGUCUAGGAACUGGUUGUGUCUCUUUCUCAGGGAUAUAAAAGCUAGGAGACUUUCCGCACAUUAAAUCAAUCAAAUUCCAAGCUUCACUAGCAGGAAGGUGAUAGAAGGAUCCUCUAGAGGCUGUAUUCAAGGUUUGCUUAUUUUCCCCACUAAGGCCCUCAAAAAAGUGAAUUAGAAGAACUUCUUCUGGAAUAGAAAGCUUUGGGCCAGUGAGAGUAAGGUUAAUAAAGCGGUCCCAUGAUUUCCUAAGAGAUUCUUCUUCCAGUUAUCUAAAAGAAAUAAUCUUACGCCGAAGUUCCGCCACUUAGGAGAUUGGAAAAUAUUUAAGAAGAAACUAUCAUAUUUAACUCCUUCCAAUCUCCAUGAACACUCCCUACUUUGAGUUUAUACCAAUGUCUAGCUUUUCCUGUUAAAGAGAAUGGAAAGAGCUUCCAUUUAAGGGUCUCAUCGGACAUGCCUUCUAUGCGAAGGAGGUCACAGACUCGAUAAACUCUCUUAGGUGUGUGUAUGGGUUUUCCUCACCUUCUCCUGAGAAAGGUUGUUUUUGAACAAAUUCUAUGUAUUCGUGGUCUAUCUCAAAACUAGAUGCUAUGAUAGGCUUUGAAGAUUUUGGUGGUUCGAGAUGUGUGCCCGUAGGUCUAUGAAAUUCGUAGAUAGACAUGUUUGAAUUCAUGAUAGACCAGAGAUCAAGGAUUAGAUAAGAGGAAAGAAUAGCAGAGACAAGUAAAAGAUAAAAGGAAAAAUAUAUAUAUAAUUUUUUUUUUAUUAUUUUUUUAGAAAAUGAUUAAGCAAGUUCGUAGUCAACUCAGCAACCGUCUCCCCGGCAACGGCGCCAAAAAUGCUUGUUGACACUUGCUAACACCACUUGAAUACUAGGUUGUCAUCCCCAGCAUGGCACUAGAGUGUACUAUGGUAUUUAUACGCACACAGAUAAUCCGCAAGCGCACGGAUACCGUUGAAGCUUUUACCCGGUUAAAGGUUUUAUCGUAUCCACAGGGAAACGGGAGAACCAACUACGCUCUAACUUAACCAAGAUAAGUAAAUAGGUGUAAAUAGGAAAGAUGGUAGAAUCGAAUAAGAACAAUAUUAAAGGUAAGAUAAUAGUGAGUGAUAAUAUAGGAAUAGAGAGUAGAGCAAUCUAGUAUAUGGGCGAUGGUAGCAGAAUAGAGAGGAUAACUAUGGUUUCUCUACUUCAAAGGGUUAUGUCUAUGUCUGGGACGAACCACGUGAUAAGAUUACACCACAAAGGAUGCUUAUCCAUAGGCCGAUAAACCCUACCCGUCCUGCUAACGAGAGAUGGACUACAGAGGACCAACGUAACUGUCACCUACGUGGCCUACCACACGAUCCAGCUAGACAGGGGAUAUCCACAAGUAAUCUAGGUCUAAGCACCACGCUUACACCUAUACUACAACUCUAACCUAUAGCGUCCUAUAGAUUAGAAGUACUCAAAAGAGUUGUGAACCAGAACAUACAUGAUUAGUAAUUGCAUAAUGAAUUAGAAGUAGAUUACCAGAGUCAUCCCAUGAGCAAGCUUGAUUAGAGCUUGAUCUUGACGAAGUACAACCGGAGGAAGAACCGACAGGCCGGCCUCUCCUCUAAUCCUCCCUCGCUCUCCAUCUUGCUACUAUCUAGAUCUACUCUAGUUUAGAGAAGAGAGGAGAGCUCUCAUCUCUAAACCCUAGCUUUUGCUCUGUCUAUGAAUAAUGAAUAAUGAUCAAGGGGUGCCUCCUCCAGGGGCCAGGGGGUCUGGUUAUAUAGUCCCCUCAAGUGAAUAUGGGCCGUUGGAUCAAACCGACAUAGAUUGAACGGUUAUUCAUGAUCCUUUAGGUCGGUGCAGAUCUCCCGAGAAAUAGAGUCCUGUUUGGACUCCAACAGAGGGCGGGCGCCCUGCCUCUGGCCCCUCUCGGCCUCCGCUUCCUUCCCGUUGCUUCUGGAGUCUUCUAGAUGUAAGAUAAUUGCGCGGCACGUUAAUAUCUCUAUGUAAUCCCGACGUGUGGGCCUUUCUUUCGUAUUUCCUGAUAACCCCCUGUAGAAAUAGACAAACACCAAAACUCGUGGAAUUCUGUCAAAUAAAACUCUAAGUCUAGAUGUUGAUUUCAUUUGGAUCCUUUUCUUUGUUUAUUUGAUAAUUAAAUUUGAUGCUUAAGGACCGUCAACAAUGGUACCUCAUCAUAGAAUUCAUGCAAUUAUUCAUCAUAUAACCCAGGUGUUCCAUAGUCCUUACUACGAGGACGAAGCUCAUGUCAAGUGCUCACUGUCCAGGAGCGAUGGCGACUCGAAACGAUUUCUAACCAGCUGGCGAGUUGUUCCCCGCACAAACCACACUCACUGAUCAAAUGAGCUACAGAUCACCGUGUUGCACUAUCCAGGACCAAUUCCCGGGUUCGACAGGCACCGCCCGUACCCGAGGACCGUUCCGGCGACUGAGGUAUCCAAGGUAUACCAAGGUUGCGCGUCACGCCCUCGUCAUUCUCCUCAAUCAUCACCAAUACAGCGCGUACAUCGGGCCGAUUCCCGGCCCGGAUAGUGCUCAGGCUUCGCGGUUGGAACGACUUAUCCUUCCAGCUAAAUGUGGGGCAUGCGUUCAACAUGACAAGCGGGCCGUCAACGAUCGGUCCUUAAUCGACACAGGCAGGGGCACUAUGGUCAACCCACCAUAAGACCCUGCCCGGUCUCAAAUUCCAUUCCAUACUUGGUUAUUCUUUCCCAAAGCAAUCACCGCUUAGUCAAGGAGGUAUCCACCUAUAUCUCGCAGGUGACAGGAAAUCACCCGACUUCUACCGGACUAAGCAGGCUAAGCAUAGACUCCGUGCCUAUCUACAUAUGACAAGGUGGAUAAACGAGUAGUGAUAACAAGGAGUACAUAUGCAUCAACGGUAUCAAGCAAUUCCUACCACUUAAAUGCAACAUAGUAGAACAAGCAUAAUAUAUUAUUUAAGUUAGCGAGAAUAGGGAGACUUAGAAUGCUCCGGGGCUUGCCUUUCUCGAACGUGCUCGGCUUAUGAUCCGGGCACUCUUGCAGCUCUUCUCCGGGUUCUGACACUCCCAGAGGUUCCUGCUGCUGUGCUUCUUCCUGCUCCUCGGGUCUCACCUCGUUCUCGUGCGAGCCUGUAUGAUGCAUAUGUGCUCAUGAGUGGAGUGCGAGAUGCCCGGGUGAAUGCUUGUAUGAGAGGGUACCAAAUGACCAUGACAUGAUGUAUAGAUGAUUUAAUUGGUCAUGCUUUUUACAAGGUAGUCAACAUCAUCCAAGAACACGCAAUUACACUAAUCAUCUAUUUCCUUCUCUUCUACAAAUUAUCCUCAAGUGUAACCAGCAAACUCACAAGAUGCUUCAAAGAUACACCAAACCUCUUUUAUUCUACUUAACCUAUAUAUACCCAUUCAUAAUUUCUUUAUUCAUUUUUAGGCCCAUCAAAAUAGCACACACUUUUAUUUAUCAAUAAAUUCCACAAAAAUUACAGUAGACUACCAGUCAAACAUAAAGUCUACCAUAAAUUUUUCAUAAUAUUUAGACACUUAUUUUGAGUUUCAAAAAUCACAAGAUUAAUUCAUAAAAGCAAGUACAAAUACUCUACUGUGGUAUAAGUGUCAAACAGCAGAUUUCAUAUUUUUAUAAUUUACUUGUUAUCAUAAGAAACACCCACAAAAAUUUCCAGAUUAAUUGCCAGAUCCAAUUAUUUAUUAAAAAUCAUAAACCACUGCCAUGCAAGCAUUUAAAUCACCAUAAAUUCUUUAUUCNNNNNNNNNNNNNNNNNNNNNNNNNNNNNNNNNNNNNNNNNNNNNNNNNNNNNNNNNNNNNNNNNNNNNNNNNNNNNNNNNNNNNNNNNNNNNNNNNNNNNNNNNNNNNNNNNNNNNNNNNNNNNNNNNNNNNNNNNNNNNNNNNNNNNNNNNNNNNNNNNNNNNNNNNNNNNNNNNNNNNNNNNNNNNNNNNNNNNNNNNNNNNNNNNNNNNNNNNNNNNNNNNNNNNNNNNNNNNNNNNNNNNNNNNNNNNNNNNNNNNNNNNNNNNNNNNNNNNNNNNNNNNNNNNNNNNNNNNNNNNNNNNNNNNNNNNNNNNNNNNNNNNNNNNNNNNNNNNNNNNNNNNNNNNNNNNNNNNNNNNNNNNNNNNNNNNNNNNNNNNNNNNNNNNNNNNNNNNNNNNNNNNNNNNNNNNNNNNNNNNNNNNNNNNNNNNNNNNNNNNNNNNNNNNNNNNNNNNNNNNNNNNNNNNNNNNNNNNNNNNNNNNNNNNGAGCUAGAUCUCAUCGACGGAGGAGGUCCCUAGCGGCAGCUAUGGCACACGGCGGAGCUCGGUGGCGUUUCUCACCGGCGUCCAGCCGUCUCCGGCCGAUAGAGUGCGAACGGAGGGGUGCUUAGGGUUCGCGGGAGCACGGCGACCACAAUGCGCGAACAAACGAAGAGAAAAGGGGUCGGGAAGGGGGAGAUUCGCGGGGACCGAGAGCUCGUCGGAGCUCCGGCCAUGUCGCGGUGGUGAAAUCUCACCUAAUACCUGGACGCUGUCGGCCGAGAGUGUGCGCACGAGGUUGCGCUCGUCGAGGCGGAGCUAGGGGCGGGUUUAAUCGGGCGCGGGUGACCGGAGUUGGGCGCUGGGCUUCGGCACCAAUGGCGCACAACGGAGCGCCGCCGCGGCUGCUGCUGCUCGCGCGGGGAGGAAGAAGAGAGGGGAGAGCGGGCGACAGAGUGGAGUGGAGUGGCCUGGGGGCGCGGGGCGGCGUCCCGACCAGGUGAAGGCAGGUCGGCCGCGGCGCGUCCAACGCCGGCGUACGGCCGCCACGUGGCCGGCGCCGGGUGGAGCGAGGCGGGCGCCCCGCACGGGAGAGAGAGGGGAGGGGGAAGCGGGCCGAGCUGCUGUCUGGGCCGAAAGGGAGGCGGAUCGGCCCAGCAGCGCCUGUCCCCUUUUCUUUUUUUUUUGAAUUACUUUUCUCCAAAAAGUUUAAAUAAUACUUUUGAAGCUUUUACAAAACUUUUCAGGGGUUGGAGUAAAAAGAAGAAUGGUUCCCAUGAAAUUCCCUACAACUUUGCUUUAAUAAGUGAAGCCAAAUUCCAAAUAGAAUUUGAAUCACAGAUUAAAACCAGUUCUAGGUUUUUAAAUAAAUUUAUUUUUGGGAUUUUUAUUCCAUCUCUCAAAUCCUAUGGCUCCAAAAAUGUCACAAAAUUACUCUUAAAUAUUCUUACACUCAUUUCAACCUAAUUUGAAUAUUUCACAAUUUUUGAACAAGCAUAAUAUCUUUAACAAAUUUAAUUCACUUAAAAUAAAGCACACAUAAAAUCACACUUGAGUUAUUAUUGUGCUCAUGGGAUGUGAUGCUUAUGCCAUGCUUGAUGAGAAUGCUUAUGAAGGUUUCAUGAGACUAAGUGCAUGCUUAACACCUAGGGUGUUACAGCCCAUCCCCUUAGGAAAAUCUCUUCCCGAGAUUUGGGUUACUAACCAUUUCUUAUGAAAUUUUGGGUAAGCUGUUUUUAGGUAAUCCUCGGUUUCCCAGGUGGCAUCCCUAUCAUCAUGAUGACUCCACACCACCUUGUAAGUUUUAACAACUCUGUUUCGGGUUACUCGCUCUUUGGUAUCUAUGAUACCCACUGGCUGCUCUUUAUACUCUAAGUCUGCCUUUAUUUUGAUUCCUCGGGGUUCAAUCCUCUGCUCGGGUACUUUCAAACAUUUCUGUAGUUGGGACACGUGGAAAACUGGAAAGAUCGAACUCAACUCUUCAGGUAACUGAAUCUUGUAGGCCAUAGGGCCCUUUCUUUCUAGAAUCUGAUAUGGUCCCACGUAUCUGGGUGCAAGCUUGCUUCGAACUCGGAAACGUUGAACUUUCUUCAUCGGCGUAACCUUGAGGUAGACAUAGUCACCUAUAUUGAAUUCAAGUGGCCUUCUUCUCUUAUCAGCAUAACUCUUUUGUCACGAUUGUGCCGCCCUCAUAUGCUACUGUAUGAUUUGCACCUUUUUCUCAGCCUCAUUCACGAAGUCCAUACCAUAGUAUCUCCUUUCACCCGGUUCAACCCAGUUUAACGGAGUCCUGCAUCUUCGACCAUACAAAGCUUCGAACGGGGCCAUCUUGAUACUCUCUUGAUAGCUAUUAUUGUAGGAGAACUCAGCCAAUGGCAACCAUGAUUCCCAUGAUCCCUUGGACGAUAACACACAAGCCCUCAGCAUAUCUUCUAGUACUUGAUUGAGUCUUUCCGUUUGACCUGAGGUUUGGGGGUGAUACGCUGUGCUUCUUAUCAGACUAGUCCCCAAACUCUUAAGCAUUCGCUCCCAGAAAUGAGCGGUGAACUGUGGUCCUCUAUCUGAUAUGAUGGUCUUGGGAAUGCCAUGCAACUUGACGAUCUCAGCUAUAUAUAUAUCAGCAUACUCAGGAGGUCUGUAGGUGUUCUUAACUGGAAUGAAAUGGGCCGACUUGGUCAAUCGAUCUAUGAUGACCCAAAUCGAGUCAUUUCCCUUUCGCGUUGUCGGCAACCCUGUGAUAAAAUCCAUACUGACAUUUUCCCAUUUCCCCUCUGGAACUGAUAACGGUUGUAACAGACCUGCAGGUUUCAUAUGUAUAGCCUUGACUCUGCAACACGUGUCACAAUGGGCCACAUAUGCGGCUAUUUCUUUCUUCAUUUUGGUCCACCAAAAGUGAGAUCUUAGGUCUUGGUACAUCUUACUACUGCUAGGAUGACUAGAAAGCUUGGAGAGAUGGGUUUCAUCCAUGAUGCGAUUCUUCAUUCUUCGGAACUACCAGCCGGUGCUGAAACCACAAUACCCCUUUUUCAUCAACUCUGAAUUGAGUCUUUGGGUCGUUUUUGAUCUUUUCUUUGAUGUGGAAAAUACCCUUGUCUGUUUUCUGACCCUCGAUGACUUGACUUUCAAGUGAACAACUGAGCUGUAUGUGACAUAAGACUUCAGGGUGCAUGAGAUUGAAACCAUCUUUAAACAGAGGUUGAACCACUUGACAAUGCGGUUUGCGACUCAAAGCGUUUGCUACCACAUUAGCCUUGCCUGGAUGGUAGUGGACUUCCAGAUCGUAAUCCUUGAUCAGUUCCAACCAUCUUCGUUGCCUCAUGGAUUGAGUGAAGAUGUAUUUCAAACUUUUAUGAUCAGUGUAGAUAUGACAUUUAUUUCCCAGCAAAUAGUGCCUCUAGAUCUUCAAAGCGUGCACUACCGCUGCUAACUUGAGAUCGUGAGUUGGGUAGUUGGCUUCGUGCUUUCUCAACUGUCGGGAAGCGUAAGCUAUUACUCUGCCGUCUUGGAUCAGCACACAUCCCAAGCCACUUUUCGAUGCGUCGCAAAACACAUCGAAAGGCUUCUCGAUAUUGGGUUGCGCUAGAACGGGAGGGGUGGUUAGCAACUUUUGAAAGGUGCGGAAGGCUAGUUCACACCCUUCCGUCCAUACAAACUUAUGAUCUUUUUGUAGCAAGCUGGUCAUUGGCUUAGCAAUCUUGGAGAAGUCGGGUAUGAAACGACGAUAAUACCCGGCCAGACGAGGAAAGCUUCAAACUUCCGAGACAGAAGUUGGUGCCUUCCAGUCCACGACUUCCUGUACCUUUGACGGAUCUACAGCAAUCCCAUCUUCAGACAGAAUGUGCCCUAGGAAAGGAACUUUCUUCAACUAGAACUCACACUUGCUGAACUUUGCAUAUAACUGAUGCUCUCGCAGUCGCGUUAGCACGACUCUCAGAUGCUCGGCAUGAUCUUGCUCAUUUUCUGAAUAAACUAGAAUAUCAUCGAUAAACACCACAACAAACUUAUCUAACCCUGGCAUAAAGACUGAAUUCAUCAAAUACAUGAAGUAUGCAGGAGCAUUUGUCAACCCAAAGGACAUGACAAGAUACUCAUACAACCCAUAUCUGGUGGAAAAAGCAGUCUUCGGGAUAUCUUGCGGACGGAUCUUGAUUUGGUGAUACCCGGACCUCAAAUCUAUCUUGGAAAAUACCUUUGCCUUGGACAACUGAUCAAACAAAAUAUCAAUCCUUGGAAACAGAUACUUAUUCUUGAUUGUUACCGCAUUGAGUGGACGAUAGUCCACGCACAUGCGUAACGAUUGAUCCUUCUUUUUCACAAACAACGCUGGACAACCCCAUUCUGACGAACUUGGCUGGAUGAACCCCUUAUCCUGUAACUCCUUUAGUUGAUUCUUCAACUCAGCGAGUUCAUUUGGCGGCAUCCGAUACGACCUUCUAGAUAUUGGUGCGGUACCUGGUAUCAAUGUUGAUAUUUGGUAACGCAAUUAGAAAAUGAUCCGCAAGCGCACGGAUAUCGGUGAGCAUUUCACCCGGGAGGUUUUCCAGAGUAUCGUAUUUAUAUUUUUACCACUGGGAGAAAGGGUGCAUCUGACUAACCAAAUCUAUUGCUACUACCCCUUUAGGCUACAAAGAAUGUCUCUUGAUGUGAGUGAUGUAUAGAGAAGACUGCAACCGUAGUCUCGUUCUAACCUUGGUAAGAAUGAUCUACUGUUCUAUUAGGGAGGCUCACGGAAUCUAGACAACACAAAGGAUGUUCGACCCGCACCUAUAACCCUACCCGUCCUGCUAACGAGAUGUGAUCUACAAAGGUAACUCGGAAAUGUCACGUUCCUCACUACUACCACGGUCCAGCUAGUCAGGGGAUAUCUAUGAGUACCCUAGCCUAAACACCACGUUUACGCUAACAAGUGAUUACUCUAAUACUCAACCGGAAGAGGAUUAAAGUAAACUCAUAAACCAAAGAACAAUAAAACAAGAACUUACUAGUAUUAGAAGUCGAAUUACUGAAGAAUCUUAGAAGCAAGCCUCGGGUUAGGAGACUUGAUCCCGUAGGUACAACUCGGAGUAGACACCGACAGGCCGGCCUUCCUCCGAUCCACACCUCCACUCUAUCUCUCUCAAUCUAGUAGAAACUAGAAGAUCUAUUUCUACCUUACAUUGGUUGCUAAGCCUAAAAAGAAAUAUUAUUUAGAGAAGAGGUUUUCCUUCGAGGGCACCCCUCAAUCUCUAUGAUAAUUUCUUGUCUCCUCCAGGGGCCAGAGGGGGUCUCCUUAUAUAGUCCUCCCCUUCUAUGCGUUUUUGGGUCGAUAGGCGAGGUGUUACUAUGUUAUUCUGGAUCCAAUAGGUUGGUGGAACGUCGUGUGCGAAGAGAGUCCAGAACGGAGUCCAGAGGGGGGCGGGCGCCCAGGUCCUCAGGGCGGGCGCCCUGGGCCUGGCCCCUUUCGGGCUCCGCUUCCUUCCCGUGGCUUCUGGAGUCUUCUAGAUGGUAGAAAAUUGCGCGGUGGGUUGAUAUCUCUAUGUAAUCCCGACAUGUGGGCCUUUCUUCCUUAUUUCCUGAUAACCCCCUACAGAAAUAGACAAACACCAAAACUCGUGGAAUUCUGUCAGAUAAAACCCUAAGUCUAGAUGUUGAUUUCAUUUGGAUCCUUUUCUUUGUUUAUUUGAUAAUUAAAUUUGAUAGUUAAGGACCGUCAACAAACUCCCCCAAGCUUACCUCUUGCUCGUCCCUGAGCAAGGAUGAACUCAAGAGUUUCUGCAGUGGUUUCAUUUCUUAGAAGUACACACGCAUUUAAGCAAGAUCUCAUCUCUGAGUUAGAAUAAAAUGUUAAGACUUAAAACUUACUUACUUUACCUACACCAUAGGACUUGUAACCGUCACUUCUGUCUUGAGUGGUUAAAAGAUAGAACAGUCUAGCCAAGUGUCAUGUCUCUUAUUCUUGAUCAGCUAUAGCUCUGGGGUUUUUGCAGAUUUUCAAAUAAAACUCAGAAAUUCCUUGUAUGAUUCUCUCAGGUCUCUCUUUUGUGGUAUUUUUGGAUCCUUACCAGGGCAGUGAUGGUAUAUGCCUUCUCUCAAGAUAUGUAGUAUUUGUGGUAUGAAGCAUAGUGACAUUGUCUUCUCUCUCACCCUACUCUAAUAAGGCUUUAAUAUCUGGAGCUCAUAGGUGGGAGAUAAAGUAUAUAUACUUACAAGACAUUUAUUGCAUAGUCAAACCAUGGAUCCAGAGAAACAAGUCAAUAAGUCAAAUCAAGAUGUGCAUGUGUGGCGAAUGUAUGGUGUAUGGUGAUCAUGGUGAUAACAAUGGUGAAAGUCUAAUUCUACUUUUGCUCUUUUAAGGGGAUACAUACCUUUCUUGCACUUAGAAGUUUUUUAGGGAGAAUGAGAUGCUCUAUAUUUUCUUUUUCUUACCUCUCAGGUGGGUAUCUUGUACCCCUAAUUCUACUGUCGGACACUUGUCCAUUUUUACCUCUCGUCUCACUUUUUCUUUUCUUCGAGGUUCCGGGCACUUGCCCCUUUUUAUUUCCUCGUAUAUUAUUUAUUUUUUUCUUCUUUUUUUUCUCUUUUUUUUUCUUUCUAGAGCACUCAUCUCCUGAAAUAAUGUAGCAAGUGGUAGUAACCAAAAUAACUGGAGCAUUUAUUUCACAGGGAAUAACAGGGAUAGGAAAAUGUUUUUGGCUAUUCUCUCCCGGAUUAGGAGUAGAAUAAUUUUGGGUAAAACUGGAGAUAGAAAUGAGUGGAUAUAUGUGGAUGGUACUUCUGGAGUAGAAGUAGCAUGUAUGAGUAAUCGUGCAAGUGAAUCUUGAUUUUAACCACAUGACAAGCUCCUAAGGGUCUACACAGCUUGACCACACUCAAUGCUCAUAAGCAGUAAAUAGUAAAUGUGUGGCUCAAGGUCUAGCAAGCAUGUAUAUAUGGCUGUGGUAGGAAUUUAAACUCUCAUCAUACAGAAACUCAUCAUGCAACAUUUUCAAGAUUUUCAAAGAUAAAAUUCUCCAGAAUUCUAGCAUCUCUAGGAACAGAUAAACAGCAGCUCAACCUUCCCAUAUCGUAUCCGUUAACAACUUAGACUUCAGCUCAAGUUUUCAUCCCACAAGUUUAGGUCUAGAGCAAGCCUUAAAUUAUAACAGUUAUAUCUAAACUUGAGAGAGAACUUCAAAUUUGCAAAUUAGGGAGAGCAACUAUUCAUCAUAUCCAUGCUUAAGUUUUAUUAGAUACAGAUUAGCAUAGCCACUUUAUUUAUUUAUUAAACAUACUAAGCAAAAUAUAUAUAAGCAUAAAAUCUUUAUUUGGUUUUUCAUAGUUAUGUGUAUUUAUAUUCUAAUAUAGUAUAAGUAUAAAGAUAGAUAGAAAUACUUAUCGAGAUAAAUGGGGGUGCUCUCCCCCAAGCUGAAUUUUGACGUAAUUUCUGUUGAUGUAGCUAGCAGGUGGCAGAGGUGUGUUUGAAAGUCAGCAGUAUUUUGACAGCGAUUAGAAUGUCCUCCGUCUGCUAGUCUUCUUGAUUCUUAAAUUCUGUGGAGCUCAAAUAGACAACAAAGCUUGUGGAACUAAUUAAGUGUUAGCAUAAAUAUCUAGCCUUCAUCAUGUUGAGCUUCCUUAAUAAAUGUUAUUUAUUUAGCAGGAUCAUACACUUAUUAUUAUUAUUAUAUAUAUAUAUAUAUAUAUAUUUAUAUAUUUUUAAUGUAAGAUGAAAACUUAUUUAUUUUAUUUUUAUGCCACUACAGUGAAUGUACUUAUGGGUUUUAUGCGAUGAGCAUACUCACAUGGGGCUUACUAUUUUUUAACAUUUUUAGUAUUUUUAUUUUCUUUUCAAGAUAGCAUGAACCUGAUUAACUAAGCAAACUAUAAUUGAAUAAUUGAAAGGAAAAGGAUAACUACCAAGUUUACCUCUUGGCAAGGCGUUCGGUGUUUUUAAGUCCUCCGAAUGGGACUCCUUGUGUUUUUAGUCGUCCUGGGACUCGCUAGGUGGCGUAGUCGGUGAUUCCGGUGGCGCCUCCUCUUUGUGUAUAACUAUGUUCUCUUUCCAUACCUGACUCGGUGCUACGGUCUUCUCAGGACAGUUCUGUUUGUUGUAUGUCUUCAGUCCUUAUCACUUCUCCUUCGUAGUCUACCCAUCCGUCCUUGAUGAUUUGCCUCCUCUGGUUGCGGUUGCGUUGUCUUCUUCUUGUCCUGACCUGCUUAGAAUCUUCAACUAUAUAGUUAGAAUCAUUAAAGUAGUGGCGUACCUUCUCAGAGGGGAAGUGCAUGUGGACUUUUCCGGUUCCAAUAUAGAUAAUGGCUUUGAUAGUGCUGAGGAACGGUCUUCCAAUGAUGGUGGAUGGAUCAUACUCGUCUUCUCCCAUGUCAAUGACCUGAAAAUUGUCUGAAGCUGAAUGUAUCUUGGUUGUAGGAGCAUAGUUCCAUGCAGGAGCUGAUAAGUGACUGCGGCCAUUAUGUUGUCGUUAGAUCCGGUGUCGUAGAGUGUCUUCUGAAAAGAGUAUCCGUUGAUUGUGCACUCGAUGCUUGGAACACCAGGGUUGUCCUUCUUGAUCAGGAAUGGCGACUUGAGUCGACGAUCUUGACCUCUUUGAACUGCAGUGACCAUCUUAGCAGAUUCAGUCCACAUUUGCUUGUUCCUGUUCCUCCUGUUGGUCCUCUUCCUUGGUUCAUGUCGGGAUUGCUCUGAAGCUUGUGUAGUCUUGUUCUUGAAGGAAACUCUCCUUCUUCCCCUUGAUGUAGAGACUGAUCUUGGCAGCAUUAGCGUAGAAAACUGCUCUGGUGUUUAGGAAUGGCCUCCCUAAGAUGAUGGGUGCUCUCUCCUCACUACCAGUCUCUAUCACCACGAAGUUUGCUGGAGUGUACAAGGUACCAACUCGGACACAGAGGUUCUUCAAUAUUCCUUUGGGAAACUAAGUGUCUGAUCUCCAUUGUGUUUGUGCUCGUAGAUCUCGGUUCUUCACUUGAUGGAAUCUGAGAGUUGUAAAACGCCUUCACGUUUCUCAAAAUGUGUCCUGCUCAUAGAGACAUGGCAGAGAUCAAGUGCAUGGGCCCUAUUGGUGGAAAACACCAACAGAACCAAAAGUGUAUUUGUUCUUCUCUAACCUUAAGCAUAUUGAGCAAGACAAAGUUGAUGGAUCAUGAGUGUAGCAUUUAAAACAUUUGUUAGAUCAGAUGGCUCAACCUAAUGGAA